Molecule: ribosomal RNA, 127 nt
Organism: Danio rerio (zebrafish)
Lineage: Eukaryota; Metazoa; Chordata; Actinopteri; Cypriniformes; Danionidae
Source: Ensembl
AACCACAGCCAUAUCAUUCUGCAGCUCAAGACCCAUUACUCCCGUUACUCACUGAAGCUAAGCAGGGCUGAGCCUGGUCAAUACCUGGAUGGGAGACCACAUGGGAAAAUUUAGGCUGCUGUUGGAA